RNAcentral lists this long non-coding RNA (856 nucleotides) under Citrus sinensis (sweet orange). Its description in RNAcentral is "long non-coding RNA (CSIN_LNC000486)". Lineage: Eukaryota; Viridiplantae; Streptophyta; Magnoliopsida; Sapindales; Rutaceae. The record is from RNAcentral.
GUGAUGGUUCAAUCAAGACUAUUGAAAUCCUGGAACCAAAGCCGCCGCCGCCGCCACCAAAACCAAAACCAAAACCAUCACCACCACCGCCGGCACCGGCUCCGGAACCAAAACCCUCACCACCACCCCCGGCACCGGCUCCGGAACCAAAACCGUCACCACCACCCCCGGCACCAGCACCGGCUCCCCAACCAAAACCAUCACCAGCCCCACCACCGCCGCCGCCGGCACCGGCUCCGGAGCCCGUUCGGUGUUACCCACCAGUUAGGACAUGCUGCAGGGAAUGUUAUGAGGGGCGUGGUGGGGGACCGUGUUACUCACCUGUUAGGGCAUGUUGCAGGGAAUGUUCCGAGGGGCGUGGUGGGGGACCGUGUUACUCACCUGUUAGGGCAUGUUGCAGGGAAUGUUCCGAGGGGCGUGGUGGGGGACCGUGUUACUCACCUGUUAGGGCAUGUUGCAGGGAAUGUUCCGAGGGGCGUGGUGGGGGACCGUGUUACUCACCUGUUAGGGCAUGUUGCAGGGAAUGUUCCGAGGGGCGUGGUGGGGGACCGUGUUACUCACCUGUUAGGGCAUGUUGCAGGGAAUGUUCCGAGGGGCGUGGUGGGGGACCGUGUUACUCACCUGUUAGGGCAUGUUGCAGGGAAUGUUCCGAGGGGCGUGGUGGGGGACCGUGUUACUCACCUGUUAGGGCAUGUUGCACGGAAUGUUCUGAGGGGCGUGGUGGGGGACCGUGUUACCAGCUUGGCUACGGGCGAGAGAGGCAGUAUGAUUGGUGCUAUGGAAGGCCAGUGUAUGAGAGUUGGGGUGGUGGCUGCGAUAACAGAGUUUAUUACAGAGGUCGCUGUUCAGAUUACAU